UAAUACAGAGGGUGCGAGCGUUAAUCGGAAUUACUGGGCGUAAAGCGUGCGUAGACGGUUAUUUAAGUCGGAUGUGAAAGCCCCGGGCUCAACCUGGGAAUUGCAUUCGAGACUGAAUAGCUAGGGUGCGGUAGAGGGAAGCGGAAUUUCCGGUGUAGCGGUGAAAUGCGUAGAUAUCGGAAGGAACAUCAGUGGCGAAAGCGGCUUCCUGGACCAGCACCGACGUUCAGGCACGAAAGCGUGGGGAGCAAACAGGAUUAGAUACCCUGGUAGUCCACGCCAUAAACGAUGAGGACUAGACGUUGGAGGGGUAAGCCUUUCAGUGUCGUAGCUAACGCGCUAAGUCCUCCGCCUGGGGAGUACGGCCGCAAGGUUG
This 376-nucleotide ribosomal RNA is filed under the name uncultured bacterium. RNAcentral describes it as "bacterial SSU rRNA". It matches the Rfam family "Bacterial small subunit ribosomal RNA", at positions 521 to 896 of the family's 1533-position model. The record is from RNAcentral.